This 983-nucleotide long non-coding RNA is filed under the name Homo sapiens (human). RNAcentral describes it as "long intergenic non-protein coding RNA 2577". Lineage: Eukaryota; Metazoa; Chordata; Mammalia; Primates; Hominidae. The record is from RNAcentral.
AGUGUAUAAUGAGCAGUGAGACGACUGGAGGUCACUUUCAUCGCCAUCUUGGUUUUGGUGGGUUUUGGACAGCUUCUUUACGCAUGCUGUUUUAUCAGCAAGGUCUUUGUGACCUGUAUCUUGUGCCGACCUCCUAUCUCAUCCUGUGACUAGGAAUGCCUUAACCUCCUGGAAUGCAGCUCAAGUCUUGCUGUGUUGCCCAGGCCAGAGUGCAAUGGCAUGAUCUCAGCUAACUGCAACCUCCACUUCCUGAGUUCAAGUGAUUCUCGUGCCUCAGCCUCCUGAGAAGCUGAGAUUACAGACGCAUGUAACAUUUGGUGCUGAAACCCAAGACAGGGGACUCCUUCAGAAGACCAGCCCCCUGUCCUCACCCUCAGUCCGGGAGGAGAUCCACCUACGACCUCGGGUCCUCAGACCAGCCCAAGGAACAUCUCACCAAUUUCAAAUUGGGACCCCACUGGAAGUCGGACCAUCCAACUUGGAUUACAGCUGCUCCUAGACCUACUGGAGCAAAAAGCUAAGGCUCCUGGCUGAUUCCUUCCCAGAUCUCCUCGGCUUAGUGGCUAAAGACUGACGCUGCCAAAUCAUCUCGGAAGCCCCCUGGACCAUCACGGAUGCCGAGCUUCGGAUAACUCCUACAGUGGAGGAUGGCCUGGAGCAACUGAAGAACCACAAAAGAAGUGAAACAGCCAGUUCCUGCCUUAACUGAUGACAUUCCACCAUUGUGAUUUGUUCCUGCCCCACCCUAACUAAUCAAUCGACCUUGUGACAUUCCUCCCCUGGACAAUGAGUCUCAUGAUCUCCCCACCCUGCACCUUGUGUCCCCCAUCCCUGCCUGUAAGAGAUAACCACCUUUAACUGUAAUUUUCCACUACCUACCCAAAUCCUAUAAAACUGCCCCACCCCUAUUUCCCUUUGCUGACUCCUUUUUCGGACUCAGCCCACCUGCACCCAAGUGAAUAAACAGCCUCAUUGCUCACACA